CCUAACUUCGGGAGAAGGAUGACCCUGAGUAGGCGAAAGGGAGAAACCCCCGGAACAGAAAAGGGUGGCAGAAAAGAGGCCCAAGCAACUGUUUACCAAAAACACAGGUGCCUGCGAAAGCGAAAGCUGAAGUAUAGGUGCUGACGCCUGCCCGGUGCUGGAAGGUUAAGGAGAGAGGUCAGCGAAAGCGAAGCUUUGAACUGAAGCCCCAGUGAACGGCGGCCGUAACUAUAACGGUCCUAAGGUAGCGAAAUUCCUUGUCGGGUAAGUUCCGACCCGCAUGAAAGGCGUAAUGAUUUGGGCACUGUCUCAACGAGGGGCCCGGUGAAAUUGAAAUACCUGUGAAGAUGCAGGUUACCCGCGACUGGACAGAAAGACCCCAUGGAGCUUCACUGCAGCUUGAGAUUGAAUCCCGGUGACAUAUGCACAGGAUAGGUGGGAGGCUAAGAAGUAAUGCCUUUGGGUGUUACAGAGCCGAUGUUGGGAUACCACCCUUAUGUUGCUGAGAUUCUAACACGGAGACUAACAACCUCGUGGACCAUCUCAGGCAGGCGGUUUGACUGGGGCGGUCGCCUCCUAAAAUGUAACGGAGGCGCCCAAAGGUUCCCUCAGGCCGGACAGAAACCGGCCGAAGAGUGCAAAGGCAGAAGGGAGCUUGACUGCGAGACAGACAAGUCGAGCAGAGACGAAAGUCGGGCUUAGUGAUCCGGUGGUACUGAGUGGAAAGGCCAUCGCUCAACGGAUAAAAGCUACCCUGGGGAUAACAGGCUAAUCUCUCCCAAGAGUUCAUAUCGACGGGGAGGUUUGGCACCUCGAUGUCGGCUCAUCACAUCCUGGAGCUGGAGUAGGUUCCAAGGGUUGGGCUGUUCGCCCAUUAAAGUGGUACGCGAGCUGGGUUCAAAACGUCGUGAGACAGUUUGGUUCAUAUCCAUCGCGGGCGCAAGAAGUUUGAGGGAGGCUGCUCCUAGUACGAGAGGACCGGAGUGGACGGAUCAACGGUGUACCAGUUGUCACGCCAGUGGCACGGCUGGAAAGCCGCAUCCGGAAAGGAUAAACGCUGAGAGCAUCUAAGCGUGAAGCCCGUCCCGAGAUGAGACUUCUCAUCAGCAAUGAGUAAGACCCCUUAAAGACGAUGAGGUCGAUAGGCUGUGAGUGGAAGUGGCGCAAGUCAUGGAGCGACGCAGUACUAAUAGGUCGAGGUCUUACC
Molecule: ribosomal RNA, 1207 nt
Filed under: metagenome
Description: bacterial LSU rRNA
Rfam family: Bacterial large subunit ribosomal RNA
Source: RNAcentral